GAAGGAUCAUUACCGAGUGUAGGGUUCCUAGCGAGCCCAACCUCCCACCCGUGUUUACUGUACCUUAGUUGCUUCGGCGGGCCCGCCAUUCAUGGCCGCCGGGGGCUCUCAGCCCCGGGCCCGCGCCCGCCGGAGACACCACGAACUCUGUCUGAUCUAGUGAAGUCUGAGUUGAUUGUAUCGCAAUCAGUUAAAACUUUCAACAAUGGAUCUCUUGGUUCCGGCAUCGAUGAAGAACGCAGCGAAAUGCGAUAACUAGUGUGAAUUGCAGAAUUCCGUGAAUCAUCGAGUCUUUGAACGCACAUUGCGCCCCCUGGUAUUCCGGGGGGCAUGCCUGUCCGAGCGUCAUUGCUGCCCAUCAAGCACGGCUUGUGUGUUGGGUCGUCGUCCCCUCUCCGGGGGGGACGGGCCCCAAAGGCAGCGGCGGCACCGCGUCCGAUCCUCGAGCGUAUGGGGCUUUGUCACCCGCUCUGUAGGCCCGGCCGGCGCUUGCCGAACGCAAAUCAAUCUUUUUCCAGGUUGACCUCGGAUCAGGUAGGGAUAUCCGCUGAACUUAA
Molecule: ribosomal RNA, 557 nt
Filed under: Aspergillus flavus
Lineage: Eukaryota; Fungi; Ascomycota; Eurotiomycetes; Eurotiales; Aspergillaceae
Description: eukaryotic LSU rRNA
Rfam family: 5.8S ribosomal RNA (bases 195-348)
Source: RNAcentral